UAGGGAAUCUUCCACAAUGGGCGAAAGCCUGAUGGAGCAACGCCGCGUGUGUGAUGAAGGGUUUCGGCUCGUAAAACGCUGUUGUAAGAGAAGAAUGACAUUGAGAGUAACUGUUCAAUGUGUGACGGUAUCUUACCAGAAAGGAACGGCUAAAUACGUGCCGG
This 164-nucleotide ribosomal RNA is filed under the name uncultured bacterium. Its description in RNAcentral is "partial 16S rRNA". It matches the Rfam family "Bacterial small subunit ribosomal RNA", at positions 355 to 511 of the family's 1533-position model. The record is from RNAcentral.